AAUCCAUAGGUUAAUGAGGCGAACCGGGGGAACUGAAACAUCUAAGUACCCCGAGGAAAAGAAAUCAACCGAGAUUCCCCCAGUAGCGGCGAGCGAACGGGGAGGAGCCCAGAGCCUGAAUCAGCAUGUGUGUUAGUGGAAGCGUCUGGAAAGGCGCGCGAUACAGGGUGACAGCCCCGUACACAAAAGCGCAUGUGCUGUGAGCUCGAUGAGUAGGGCGGGACACGUGGUAUCCUGUCUGAAUAUGGGGGGACCAUCCUCCAAGGCUAAAUACUCCUGACUGACCGAUAGUGAACCAGUACCGUGAGGGAAAGGCGAAAAGAACCCCGGCGAGGGGAGUGAAAAAGAACCUGAAACCGUGUACGUACAAGCAGUGGGAGCACCCUUCGGGGUGUGACUGCGUACCUUUUGUAUAAUGGGUCAGCGACUUAUAUUCUGUAGCAAGGUUAACCGUAUAGGGGAGCCGUAGGGAAACCGAGUCUUAACCGGGCGUUAAGUUGCAGGGUAUAGACCCGAAACCCGGUGAUCUAGCCAUGGGCAGGUUGAAGGUUGGGUAACACUAACUGGAGGACCGAACCGACUAAUGUUGAAAAAUUAGCGGAUGACCUGUGGCUGGGGGUGAAAGGCCAAUCAAACCGGGAGAUAGCUGGUUCUCCCCGAAAGCUAUUUAGGUAGCGCCUCGUGAAUUCAUCUCCGGGGGUAGAGCACUGUUUCGGCUAGGGGGCCAUCCCGGCUUACCAACCCGAUGCAAACUGCGAAUACCGGAGAAUGUUAUCACGGGAGACACACGGCGGGUGCUAACGUCCGUCGUGAAGAGGGAAACAACCCAGACCGCCAGCUAAGGUCCCAAAGUCAUGGUUAAGUGGGAAACGAUGUGGGAAGGCCCAGACAGCCAGGAUGUUGGCUUAGAAGCAGCCAUCAUUUAAAGAAAGCGUAAUAGCUCACUGGUCGAGUCGGCCUGCGCGGAAGAUGUAACGGGGCUAAACCAU
RNAcentral lists this ribosomal RNA (989 nucleotides) under Salmonella enterica subsp. enterica serovar Muenchen. RNAcentral describes it as "partial 23S ribosomal RNA". It matches the Rfam family "Bacterial large subunit ribosomal RNA", at positions 161 to 1190 of the family's 2925-position model. The record is from RNAcentral. Lineage: Bacteria; Pseudomonadati; Pseudomonadota; Gammaproteobacteria; Enterobacterales; Enterobacteriaceae.